AAUUCACCUGAGACGUGUACGGCUACCUGCUGAACUUAAGCAUAUCAGUAAGCAGA
This 56-nucleotide ribosomal RNA is filed under the name Bursaphelenchus tiliae. RNAcentral describes it as "partial 28S ribosomal RNA". The record is from RNAcentral. Lineage: Eukaryota; Metazoa; Nematoda; Chromadorea; Rhabditida; Aphelenchoididae.